Molecule: unclassified non-coding RNA, 339 nt
Filed under: soil metagenome
Description: partial contains 5.8S ribosomal RNA, internal transcribed spacer 2, and large subunit ribosomal RNA
Rfam family: 5.8S ribosomal RNA (bases 1-120)
Source: RNAcentral
GAUGAAGAACGUAGCGAAAUGCGAUAAGUAGUGUGAAUUGCAGAAUUCAGUGAAUCAUCGAAUCUUUGAACGAACAUUGCGCCCUUUGGUAUUACUUAGGGCAUGCCUGUUCGAGCGUCAUUUAAACCUUCAAGCUCAGCUUGGUGUUGGGUGACUGUCCGCCGCCUCCGGGCGGUCGGACUCGCCUCAAAUUGAUUGGCGGCCGGUACUUUGGCUUCGAGCGCAGCAGAAACGCGAACUCGAGGCCGUCGUCCUGGCUCCCAGAAGCUAUCUUCACAAUUUUGACCUCGGAUCAGGUAGGGAGACCCGCUGAACUUAAGCAUAUCAAUAAGCGGAGGA